GGAGCAGAAGCAGCACAGUUCCCUGCCUUCAAUCCAGAGCAGCUUUAAUAUUGCAGCAAUGUGGAUGUCUGCAUAAAAGCAGACUUGUUUUUUUUUCUCUCCACUUCUGCCUCCUGGAAAGAAUAUUCUCUUAAUCUUUUGGAAUUAAACCAGCCAAAUAGAGUGUAACAUGUUUCUUAAUCAUUUGGGCCACCUUCUCCUUUCUGAAUGGAUGUUGGUUUCAGUGGGAAUGUUUUCUGUGGUUGUGGAUCAUUGAGAAGAUGGUGCUGACUUGCUCUGGUAAGCUGAAGAAACAACCAAGCACAUGGCAUGAAGUGAAAUAAGGACAAAUGCAAGAGACACCCUGGAGACAGGCAACUGAGGACAAAGAAAAUCUGUGGGGAAAGGGUGGUGAGCCAGGUGCCCACCUGUCAGCAUUAUUGCUGAGGCACAUCUCAGCCAGAGCCUUCAUAUGCAAUUUGCCCAAGGAAACAGCAUUGAUCUGACUUCAAAAGGAGAUGAACUGACUAACAUGAGAGCUUGUUUCAUACAGUUUUGAUUGGAGAGAGGAAGAGAGAGUUGUUGGAGGUAUGGUGCUGCCAUUGCUGCUGAAAUGAGUGACUUGGAAGUCCUAAAAUUGUUAAGAUGUUCUGUGCUAAGGUGUGUGGGAAAAGAUUGCUCCAAGUCACAAUAAAUAAUAAGCUGACUAGGUGAGGCCAUAUCCUGGUUUAAAAAAAGAAAUGCAGUGGGAUUGUUGACAUGGGUGUCAAGAAUAUAAGGAUGAGCAAAGCAAUUAGGCAUGGACAUUUCACCAAGACAGUGCUAAAAGAAUUGUGUUCAGUUCUGCACUCCACACUGGAGGAGUAGUGAGAUUAAAGGAAGCCACCACAGAGAAGGGUGGGUAUUGAUGUUCCCUUACCAAGAAAUGCUUUCAAGCCAUUACAUACAUGCUUUAUAUUACUUCAAAAGCAGAACUUUUGAAAGUGCUUUUAAAUAUUUGGGAAAUUUAUUCAUAAUAGCCAAAAAGUAGAAAGAAGCCAAAUGUCCCUCACUUGACGAAUGGAU
Molecule: long non-coding RNA, 1044 nt
Filed under: Papio anubis (olive baboon)
Lineage: Eukaryota; Metazoa; Chordata; Mammalia; Primates; Cercopithecidae
Description: lncRNA (ENSPANG00000044592.1)
Source: RNAcentral